Long non-coding RNA from Dromaius novaehollandiae (emu), 7897 nucleotides. RefSeq lists it as uncharacterized. The record is from RefSeq and is a predicted model, not a curated record. The transcript is spliced from 4 exons. NCBI's taxonomy places the organism in Eukaryota, Metazoa, Chordata, Aves, Casuariiformes, Dromaiidae.
GAUGUCUUAAAAUGUUCUUACAGCAACUCAUGAAGUGGACUAUUGGAUGGAAAAUGCUCUCCUUCUGCACUGGUAAACUGGUGUCAUGGGUGACAACUGGUGUAAGUAUGCAAAUAUUGGGAACAGUGUGGUUACGCUGAUGAGUUUGUAGGGCAGGCUCAUCAGCCCUACAGAGCAAAGGUAAUCCCUUUCAGGAGUUGAAAUUCAACAGGGAGGUUCAAGAGGAAAAUUUCAUGUUCUUUCCAAAAUAAUUAUGGUCACUGCACAAUGUUCUUUUACAGUGAGUAUAUUCACAUUUUGAAAUAGUGGGGGAAAAAGUCAAAUAGCUGAUAAAAGGAAGGGUUUUUAAAAUUCCUGUCACACAUUUUAAUUUGCUCCCUGCACACUCAACUCUGUUGCUUUUGAUUACUUAAGUCUGCAUCAGUGGCUUAUACCAACUAAACGUUUGUUGUCAAGGUCAUUCCAAAAUACUACUGCCCAUGAAAUUACUGAUGCAUUGCCUGAAGUGCUGUGGAUCAGGGAGGGGCAGGUCUAUUGUUGAAGUCCUUCUUGGAGAAAGGUGAACGAAGAGCAGUGGUCAGAUACUGUACUUCUGGUGCACAGUCUCCCAGCUGCGGAAUCAGUAUCUGUUCUCUCUGGUCCUUUUAAAAGUUCUUAUAUCGCCACUGCCUGAGAAGGGCAGACUGCACCCUUCGAGAAGCCAGUCAUCUCCAGGUGGCACGCUGUAACUCUUAGCCUUCACCAUGUGUCAUGUGCUCCACAUUUACUAGUAAAAUUCCUUAGAGCAUGGGUGAACGAUAGCUGGCUAGAGCUAAACCCAGGUGAACUUGAAUCUAUUAUGAAUCCACACCCUAGUUCUGUGUUUUUCUUUGGACUCUUCAUCAGUGCUAAGCUUUCCCAAAGCAAAUACUUGAGGAAUGAUCAAUUUUCUUUCAGCUUACCAGGAAAGAAAUCCUUUACACAUUUGACUCCUACUGGUUAGACUAUGGCAUUGAGCCAUAACUGAAGCCUUGUCUGCUCACAAAACUCUAGUACAGAACACUGUCAUGAAUAUUCUCAGAAAUCAAAGACCUAGGCUAUUUUUCUAUAAUACUUCCUGUGCUUCUCUGUGCAAGGCUUUUUCUCAGUUGCAAAGACCAAUGUCAAAUCUAGUUUCUUUGCAAGGAGACAGACACUUCUUAGAAGUGGUGGAACAGAGGAAAAAGGAGCAUUCCUCUACUGGAAGGCUCUUUAGAAAGGAGUGGACAAAUGCAGAGAGCAUGAAAAUACAAAAUUUUGAAUCCAGGAUAAGUUUUGUGAUCAAAACAAAGUUGCAAAUGGGCAAAUCUCAUUCAGUUUAUAGUCUGCCAAUAUUCAUUAAGAAUCCACAUUUUUGGUGUGAAUAAUCUUUACAACUACUUUUUCUAAAAUGUCACUUAAACAUGGAAGUUCAUAAAAUUAGAAGAAGUAAUUCUCUGAAGUUUAGAAAAAUGAACAAACCAGCAAUAGCAAGAUGACAGAAACUACUUUUUCAGAAACUAAGGAGAAAAACAAUACAGCAAGCCUUCUUUUCCUUGUCCACAGUUAAAGAAAACUGAAAAUAAUGCUUUCCAAUAGUCCUCUGGAUUGCAUAAGAAUAUCCACAUGUCCAAUACCUCGUUAUCCAGCAGAGAGGUUGUUAAAAAGACUGCACACCAGAAACAGACACUGGAUUUUUUUUUGCCUCUGCUGUUCUUUUCUGUCCCCUCUUGGGUAUUUUUGUCUUGUUUCAUCUUCAGGAAAAGAGGAUUAGACUCCACCAGAAAAAGCUCAAAAUGUGCUCUAGUCAUUCCUAGGACAAGAGUUUUGAAGAGAAAACGCUACAGAUAAAGUUCUUCAUAUUGAGCAAACCAUACUCCCAUGGAGUGAGAAACAUUUGACUUCCAAUUUUUUGCCUGUCAGAUGACACUAUAAACUAUACAGUCAGUUUGGCAAUACAGUGGAAUAGCCUUCCCUUGGGACAGUGUGGCGAAUCGGAUCUGGGUGUGACUGUGAUUAUUCUGCAAACUGCAGGAAUAAUUCAUUGGGAUCCAGGAUUCAAGAUGGCACCAAGAGGAGGAAGGCCUGAAAAACGAAAUAAAGAAAAAUCAUCAAUCAUUCUGUUUGCAGAGUAUGCUGGCUGGAUCUGUCUGCUGAUGCUAUAAAUUGGGACACAUAGCUGUUAAUUUACCAGAAGAAGCUGCUAAUUCUCUUAUGAUUUUAUGAGAAGGUCUGAAAAGACAAAGAAAGCCCAAGAAAGUUUAAGGCUGAUUUUUUCUUCAUUAGCAAAGGUGACUUUAUUGGGUAACUGCCAAGAACAUAAAAUAAGCUGAAGAAAUGAACUAUGCUACAAAAGAAUUAUCUUGAACUUUGACUAUCUUUAGUUUUAUUUAUUUAAUUUCAGUAUGUAGUUGUUCAGGGCUUUGUCUAUCCCUGUGGAUCUAAUUAGGGUCUAAGGGCCCAGAGAAAAGGAUGUGAAUGAAUCCUACACUCUGGUUAUGAUACUAAUAUCUUUCAGAAUAGAUGCUAUGGCUGUUCAACACAUAAGACUGUAUCUGAGAAUUUACCUUCUUUCAGCAUAUUUUCUGCAUGGCAUCUCUCCCGGACCUCAUAAAGUCAGUGGGUCAAGUUUUCACGCUUUAUAUACACAGCAAAAUAACAAAAGCAAUAGGUAUUGCGGGUAUGACUGUAUUGUGGGGUCAUCUUGCAAUGCCUCACUUUGUUCAGCUGGCAUUUUUAAUAUGGAUACUAAAACAUAGCACUGAUAGUAAUGGAUACUGACCACCAUAUGGCUGUAAGGUAUGGCCACAUAUAUGCACACCAACGAGUAAUGCAUGAAGAGAUCUCCUCCUGCUAUGAUACAAAGAAAAAAGGAUUGAUCAACCCCCAGAGCAUUUUUACUAUAUGCAGAUGUGGCCUUUAAGUUAAAAUCUGUAGCAGAGCUUCAUUAGCUUCCAGUUCACUAAAAUGUAAACUUAGAUAUGCUUAGGCCUCUGAACUCUCAGAACAUUAUAAAGCUCACAAAGCUCUUCUACGGAUAAGAGACAGGCCUCUUCAUUUCUAAGGCUGAAUUUAGUUUGCAUAUCUUUUCUCCUAUUAUAUAUAUUUACAAAUAUAUGUAUCUACAAAUAUAUAUAUGUUUUCCUGAAUUUUCUGCUUGGCUCUAGGCAAAAUGGGAUGUUUUCUUAAAGCCUCAGGCCAAUGCCAAAAGCUGUUUUUUGGUGUGGGAUUAUGAACAAAGACAUUUAAUAAAUGAAAGUCUUCAGAUUCAGAUUUUUUUGGAAAGAGCUGGGUCUUUCCAAAUUUAAUAUAAAACUUGGGCUCAGCACACUUGAGUCAGUGCCAGUCUCAUUUACUGUGGUGCCUCCAGAGGCCUCAUCUAUACCCGGAAUGGUCAACUAGCAAUUAAAAGCAAACAAACAAAAAAACAAACCAAAUUAGAAAUAUGCACUUUCUGUUACCCAGAGUAUGAAAGUGGUUAUAUAUAAACUCAACUUUCUACUUGGAAACUUUUUUGAACUUUCUUUUUUCACAAAGGCUGUCUUGUCAAGUGGACUUAAUCAAAGGUAUGUUAAUGAGCGAUAUUCACCCAUUUCAAGCACUAGUCCACAGAUGUAUAGUAUUGUAUCUACAGAAGUGAUAUACUUUCCUUGUUACCAGUUAAUAAGUUGCUAAAAUAUUCUCAAGAAAUACCAAAUAAGAAGUUCAUAAAUAUUUAUGUGAAAUCUUGGUGUGGUAUUGCAAUAUAAAUAGCAAUAUUAGUAUGUACUCUUUUUAUUGUUUUCCAUGGACAAAAUUAAAACCAAGACUACUAAAUGUGUUAAAAGUUAGGCUUAACAUUGUUUUGAUGAACUCGGCAUUUCCUCUGAAGAAAGCUAAAUUGGGUGCAUUUCCAAUUUACACUAGGUUCCAUCAAGCUAGCUAACCUGGCUUGGUUGCUUUGUAUGAUGUGGAAACUGUAAGACUUAUGUAAUCUUUGCUUUCCUGUGCAUGACUAGGUAUAUGAUGGAUAGGUAACAGCUACAGAGAGGUAUCAAAUACACUUCAGGUAAUGUUGUUAUUUCCCCUGGUAACUACUGGGAGGCACUGUCAUUUUCUGAGAAAGUCUGGUACUGUGACAACGAUAAGAGCACGUUUAUGUGAAAAGUGGAAAGUCUCGUGUUGGUUAAGAGGAAGGCUGUAAAAGCAUGCUAUAAAUGCGAAAAGCUCCAAGGAGGCUGAUGGGGCUGCAGGCCCCUUUGCGCGGGGCGGCUCGGAUAUCACUGAUUGUGAUGCAGCCGAAUUUCUCGCGUGCUGAGGCAGGGGCAGCCGCCUCUGGCUCACAGAAGGGCCACUAAAAUGACAGCGCUGAGAAGCACUGCUCUCCGAAGGGCAUAAUUCUGCUCUUACCACAUCAGGACACCUGAAAUCAUGAACAUCAUAAACACUCUCCUGUCUUUGCUGUUUGCCCUGUUGGCGGGAAUGAUUCUCAUUUUUGGCUUGAUUGUACUCUUCUGCAUCCUGCUCUUCAGCACCAGGCUUACUCUUACUCUUGGUGAAACCAAGAUGGUCACCAUGUUCGAUAGAGCAGGGAUGGUGACUGAAUAUUAUAUCUAUAAUCCGGUCACCAAGCCACAUGCGGCUCAGGUAGACAUUGAAUUUGAUAAAGCUGAUUUACUAGCCAAGAUGGCCAAGGAGAUUGCUCCUAAUUACAGUGUGGUGGGUACCAGAAAAUUAUUGUUCUUCUUCUUAUUAUUUUUAUCAUUAUUAUUAUUGUUGUUGUUAUUUCAUAGUCAACUUAAAAUGGAAUUUAACUCCUUUUUAAUACAUCUUGAUAGGUACGACAAUGGGGUAGCUCUGCUGAAUGCAAUGGAAAUUCAGAAUAUUACUUAAUAUGAGAGGUUUGUAACAAUUAUAAGCUGAGGUCUAGAAGUGUUUAAAAUAUCAAAUAUUGAUUAAAGAUCGAGCAAAUGCAACUAGUUCACUGACUUUAAGGAAAGAGAAUCCAAAGGUUUCAGUUAUCUGAACAGGACAUUAGUCAGCUCAGUUGUACAUUAUAUAAAAGCUGUUUUAUGGAAACCCGGCAGUGUUAAGGGUGGUAAAACAAGAAUAUUGUGUUAUCAGAGUGGUGUAAAGUAUUUUUUAAAUCAACAGAAUAUUUUAUGACUCUAUAAAUAGAAAUAAAAUAGGAGGUCAGAGGUAUUCUGCAGGCAUUUGCUGAGUUGAAAACUACACAGCUUCAUAGGAAUGGCUCAUUUCAUUAUCAGUAUUUCUGCCUUUGCUGAAGUUUAGAAAAGAUUUCUCUCUGCAAACAAGACAACAUUGUUUUGUUUGUGAGCUGUGAGUGAGUUCCUGUUACUCCUACUGCAAUCAAGAGAAGCUGAGGGCUCCCCUGCACAUUGCAGAGGAUUCUUGGAACUGUGGAAUUUGAAUUUAAACUUGGUAUUUCUAUGUCUGAAUAUGGAGGAGGCCCUGAAAAAGCAGAGUCAGUUUCUAUAGUUAAAGGUACAAUGUACUUUUAAUGGCUAAAAUUACUAUAUGCUAAUCUUGUUAUUUAUAUAUGUAUCUGUAUGUGCGUAUGUAUAUGUGUAUAUAUGUCUUGGAAUAGAGCUUUUUUAGAUGAUAGGCUCGUCUGCCCUCUUCAAUUUGACUAUAGAAAUAUUUGCUCUAUUUCAGUUCUUACAAAAAAAGAUGUUUUUCUGCUUCAUCUAAUCAUCCUUCUACAAGUCUGCUGUAGUUUUCUUCCUUUUAUUUUUGUUGUUCUCUAUAUGUUGCUAGUUUCUGAAAAAAAUGUAUUGUCAACACUUUUAUUUAUGUUUAUGGAAAAGAUAAAAGGAGGCCUCCAGCUCUUGUGUAGUAUAAAUUUAGUUUGACUUGAUCCAUCUGGCCUACAGUUAAGUCAUUUUAAUUCAUCUGAUCAUCUGAGUCUUCCUUGCUUAGAGUUUCAGAUUGGGAAAGAAUGCAAAUAUGUAUACAUAUAAAGACUAAUUUUAACUUUUAUUUUUAAUCUCUUUUGGUAGUGUAGUUUGGCUGGUAAAACUCAAUAACAAGGACACAACUCAUCUUGAGAGAGUUUCAGAAAAUUUAGAACAAGUUUGUACGGUUUCUUAAUUAGCAUCUGUAAGAUGAAACAAAUGGCUCUGUCUAAUGUAUCUAAUAGUUACUAAAACCUUAGUAAGGCUGAGUACAAGAGAACGAGUUAACAGAUAAUCUUUUUAAUCUAAUGAUGCCAAAGCAUUCAACUCAAAACAAAUACAAUGAGCAAACCCAAGCACAGAGUGUUUCUCACAAAGCUUGCUCAUAUUACAGUAACUGUCAAUAAAGCUGAUUCUCUUUUACCAAAAGGAGAAAGUAAUAGACUAUUUCUUCCACUGGGAAACCUGUAAAAUCAGAUUUUGUCCAUUGAAUGUAUCUGCAUGUUUCCAUUUGUAUUUCUUUCUUUUCUUUUUUUUUUUUUUUUUUUCUUUUUUUUAGCAUCUAUCUACUGAUUGAGGAUGUGCUAACUGUUUUUGCUUAUCACACAGAAGCCCCUAUUUCAUACUGGGUUCCAGAGACGGUAGUUGCACUCUGCAUGCGUAACAACACUGUCUUACCUCAAAGGUCUUGCAGUGUGCAAACUUUGAAUAGCUAUCAUUUGUAGGUGUUGAUGAUUUCUAUAAUAAUUCAUUUUAAAAGAUAAUGAUGAAGUUAACUGUCUCCACUUUUAGAACCAUUAGCGGUGAUACAAGUCUCUCAGAUAAAUAAUAGAAAUACUGCUUCUGGCCCAUUUAAAGCUGCUCAGUAUAUUAGGAAAAUGAAUAGGAGAGAAAAAAUCUGCAAAACUAGGUGGAAAAUUUGCAAAGUAAUCUGACUUUUCCUUGUUGCUUCUAUUGCAGAGGACUGAGCAGAUAAAAGGAAAAAGGGGAAAAUAACCUGGCAUGGUAGAAUGAAGUAGGAGUAGGUCAUGAAGUGUUUUUGUUUACCCACUACAACCUUCUAAAUCUUAGGCUGAGAACUCUGCAGAGCCUGCAAGAGCUCUUUCUGGCCUUUAUGUUGUUUGUGUGUGCAAAACCAGAUAUGAUAAAAGUCUAAUUGUGAACUGGAUUUUGAAGUUCUAGCACAGUAAUAAUUGCAGUCAAUAGGAGCUAUAUGAACUAGUGAUCAGCCUGACAUUCUUUAGGUGAAAUUAUUUGUAAUGAGGAAUAUAAAUACUAUUACAAGUAGUUAUCAGGCAAUUGUCCAGGAUUUGUUACUAAUAUUUCCUUUUGAUUAGAACUGUAAAUGUGACUAUAUGGUGUAAGUGAAUAUUGAAUUUCGCUAGCACAUGUAAAUGCUCUUCUCCUGGAUCAUUACAAGAAUACUAUUACCUAAGGCCAACCUGUUUUUCAUUAAGACCAUAGACUUUAUUAACUUAAGCUCACUGGUUUUCAUUUAUAAAGUACAUGAAGAUCUCUCGGAAAAACCAGAUAUUCACUGGCAUCUCACUGAAAGUGGAUCCUAGUGGCAAUGCAUGGGAUACUGGAGAUGAUUCCCUGGAAGACAUCAGUCCAGAUGAGCAAAGUUAUGUUUUCACUUGUAAACAGCUGAAUGGCAGCUGCAUCUUAAUGUCAUACAACAAUGAAAACGAACCGACAGUCCAGAACUUGCAGCUGAAUGAUGUCAUACGGCUCCUCCUGCAGUCAUUUUCUGACACCUCCCAAAAGCCAGGUGAUGUGGGAUCCACUGACACCAGUGAGAACAGCAAGACCGAGGAGAAGGCAGAAGCCAACCCAAGCCACGAAGAGUGAUCUUGUCCUGUUUCCAUCUGGAAAAAAUCGCCCUUCUACAACAGACAGCACAAAAAACCUGCUCUUCAUCGUAUCCCCAGCAGGACACAAGGACUAAGCCUGCUGGCGUGCUUCUCCUUGUUUGUGAAAAAUUCACUGCGUUGUGCACUCUUAAA